UACAGAGGUCUCAAGCGUUGUUCGGAUUCAUUGGGCGUAAAGGGUGUGUAGGUGGCGCCGUAAGUCGGGUGUGAAAUUUCGGAGCUUAACUCCGAAACUGCAUUCGAUACUGCGGUGCUUGAGGACUGGAGAGGAGACUGGAAUUCAUGGUGUAGCAGUGAAGUGCGUAGAGAUCAUGAGGAAGACCAGUGGCGAAGGCGGGUCUCUGGACAGUGCCUGACACUGAGGCACGAAGGCCAGGGGAGCAAACGGG
RNAcentral lists this ribosomal RNA (253 nucleotides) under uncultured bacterium. RNAcentral's name for it is "partial 16S ribosomal RNA". It matches the Rfam family "Bacterial small subunit ribosomal RNA", at positions 524 to 776 of the family's 1533-position model. The record is from RNAcentral.